RNAcentral lists this ribosomal RNA (253 nucleotides) under uncultured bacterium. Its description in RNAcentral is "partial 16S ribosomal RNA". It matches the Rfam family "Bacterial small subunit ribosomal RNA", at positions 524 to 776 of the family's 1533-position model. The record is from RNAcentral.
UACGUAGGGUCCGAGCGUUGUCCGGAAUUAUUGGGCGUAAAGAGCUCGUAGGCGGUUUGUCGCGUCUGCUGUGAAAUCCCGAGGCUCAACCUCGGGCCUGCAGUGGGUACGGGCAGACUGGAGUGCGGUAGGGGAGAAUGGAAUUCCUGGUGUAGCGGUGGAAUGCGCAGAUAUCAGGAGGAACACCGAUGGCGAAGGCAGUUCUCUGGGCCGCAACUGACGCUGAGGAGCGAAAGCAUGGGGAGCGAACAGG